Molecule: ribosomal RNA, 601 nt
Filed under: Leptosphaerulina argentinensis
Lineage: Eukaryota; Fungi; Ascomycota; Dothideomycetes; Pleosporales; Didymellaceae
Description: LSU rRNA
Rfam family: Eukaryotic large subunit ribosomal RNA
Source: RNAcentral
AAGCAUAUCAAUAAGCGGAGGAAAAGAAACCAACAGGGAUUGCCCUAGUAACGGCGAGUGAAGCGGCAACAGCUCAAAUUUGAAAUCUGGCGUCUUUGGCGUCCGAGUUGUAAUUUGCAGAGGGCGCUUUGGCAUUGGCAGCGGUCCAAGUUCCUUGGAACAGGACGUCACAGAGGGUGAGAAUCCCGUACGUGGUCGCUAGCCUUUACCGUGUAAAGCCCCUUCGACGAGUCGAGUUGUUUGGGAAUGCAGCUCUAAAUGGGAGGUAAAUUUCUUCUAAAGCUAAAUACUGGCCAGAGACCGAUAGCGCACAAGUAGAGUGAUCGAAAGAUGAAAAGCACUUUGGAAAGAGAGUUAAAAAGCACGUGAAAUUGUUGAAAGGGAAGCGCUUGCAGCCAGACUUGCCUGUAGUUGCUCAUCCGGGUUUCUACCCGGUGCACUCUUCUAUAGGCAGGCCAGCAUCAGUUUGGGCGGUUGGAUAAAGGUCUCUGUCAUGUACCUCCUUUCGGGGAGAACUUAUAGGGGAGACGACAUGCAACCAGCCUGGACUGAGGUCCGCGCAUCUGCUAGGAUGCUGGCGUAAUGGCUGUAAGCGGCCCGU